AGAUAUAAGAAGAAGGACCCCCCUGAAGCAGCUACUCUGGGAAGUAUGGAGAGGAAAGUCUCAACACCCAGCAAGGGAAAAGCUGCUAAACUCUGUCAUCGGUUAUCUCCAAUUGAACCUGUGUCUGAGGGGAGGCAAUGAGUGAGGACCAAGCUUUGGAUCCUUUGGAAGAAAGUUUCAAAUCCAUGGAUCUUGCAGUGGAUGCUAUUAUACUGGAUGAGGAACGAGCGAACAACUUGCUCAACAGUGUGUCAACUUCAGAACUGGAGAGUUUCCAGAACUGCAUCUUGAUGUAUGCUGGAAAAAGGUUUGCCUUCUCUCCUCCGGUUUAUGAAGCAAGGUGUCUUCUCGCUGCUUUAGAUUACAACCACCACAAUCACCGACCAGAUUACAUUGACCGGAAUAAUGAGUUAUCGCCUCAGCUACAUGAAGCAAGAAAGGGAGAAGACAAGACAGUAUUAUCUUCCACACAUUUUUUAUUAUGAACAUAUAAAUAAAUAAUAAAAAAAAAUUCAACAACG
Cololabis saira (Pacific saury) is the source of this 521-nucleotide long non-coding RNA. RefSeq lists it as uncharacterized. The transcript is spliced from 6 exons. The record is from RefSeq and is a predicted model, not a curated record. NCBI's taxonomy places the organism in Eukaryota, Metazoa, Chordata, Actinopteri, Beloniformes, Belonidae.